RNAcentral lists this ribosomal RNA (404 nucleotides) under Actinomycetes bacterium. RNAcentral describes it as "Actinobacteria bacterium partial 16S ribosomal RNA". It matches the Rfam family "Bacterial small subunit ribosomal RNA", at positions 355 to 776 of the family's 1533-position model. The record is from RNAcentral. Lineage: Bacteria; Bacillati; Actinomycetota; Actinomycetes.
UGGGGAAUAUUGGACAAUGGGCGCAAGCCUGAUCCAGCCAUGCCGCGUGAGUGAUGAAGGCCCUAGGGUUGUAAAGCUCUUUCACCGGUGAAGAUAAUGACGGUAACCGGAGAAGAAGCCCCGGCUAACUUCGUGCCAGCAGCCGCGGUAAUACGAAGGGGGCUAGCGUUGUUCGGAUCUACUGGGCGUAAAGCGCACGUAGGCGGACUAUUAAGUCAGGGGUGAAAUCCCGGGGCUCAACCCCGGAACUGCCUUUGAUACUGGUAGUCUUGAGUUCGAGAGAGGUGAGUGGAAUUCCGAGUGUAGAGGUGAAAUUCGUAGAUAUUCGGAGGAACACCAGUGGCGAAGGCGGCUCACUGGCUCGAUACUGACGCUGAGGUGCGAAAGCGUGGGGAGCAAACAGG